This 465-nucleotide ribosomal RNA is filed under the name uncultured Klebsiella sp. RNAcentral describes it as "bacterial SSU rRNA". It matches the Rfam family "Bacterial small subunit ribosomal RNA", at positions 338 to 795 of the family's 1533-position model. The record is from RNAcentral. Lineage: Bacteria; Pseudomonadati; Pseudomonadota; Gammaproteobacteria; Enterobacterales; Enterobacteriaceae.
CCUACGGGGGGCUGCAGUGGGGAAUAUUGCACAAUGGGCGCAAGCCUGAUGCAGCCAUGCCGCGUGUGUGAAGAAGGCCUUCGGGUUGUAAAGCACUUUCAGCGGGGAGGAAGGCGGUGAGGUUAAUAACCUCAUCGAUUGACGUUACCCGCAGAAGAAGCACCGGCUAACUCCGUGCCAGCAGCCGCGGUAAUACGGAGGGUGCAAGCGUUAAUCGGAAUUACUGGGCGUAAAGCGCACGCAGGCGGUCUGUCAAGUCGGAUGUGAAAUCCCCGGGCUCAACCUGGGAACUGCAUUCGAAACUGGCAGGCUAGAGUCUUGUAGAGGGGGGUAGAAUUUCAGGUGUAGCGGUGAAAUGCGUAGAGAUCUGGAGGAAUACCGGUGGCGAAGGCGGCCCCCUGGACAAAGACUGACGCUCAGGUGCGAAAGCGUGGGGAGCAAACAGGAUUAGAUACCCUUGUAGUC